Ruditapes philippinarum (Manila clam) is the source of this 720-nucleotide long non-coding RNA. RefSeq lists it as uncharacterized. NCBI's taxonomy places the organism in Eukaryota, Metazoa, Mollusca, Bivalvia, Venerida, Veneridae. The record is from RefSeq and is a predicted model, not a curated record. The transcript is spliced from 3 exons.
GUUGAUACGUCAGAUCACGUUUGAUCUUGUAAUGCGUCAUAGAUUUAUAAUUAACAUAUGAAGUAUUGAAAUGGUUAUAUAAGAACAUUUGAUAAAUGGAUAAUUUUGCUAGACCCUGAAUGACUGAGACUUUGUUCGACAUUUAAGAAUGCUUGUCACAGUUUUCAUUGUGUGCAUGGUGUCGACCGUGACAGCCCAAUAUGAGCCUUACAAUAGCAUUGGUCACAGCUUAAAUAACGGUUGGAAUGAUGACCGUGAUGAUAGCUAUGACAACGAUUUUGUAGGCGGAUUCCAGUCACGAUUUGAAGGAGGAUAUGGCAAUAGUCGCAAUAGGUUUGAUGACAAUGAUAGGGACUCUGAUAACAGAUACGACAACGACUUUAAUGGAAGAUCCAACGAUGGUUUUGAUGACAGAUACGACAGAACCUUUAAUGGGAGAAACAACAAUGGUUUCAAUGUCAGGUUGAAUGGAAGAUACGGUAAUGAUUAUGAUGACGGAUACGACAGUGACUCUUAUAGAGGAUACGGUAAUGGUGGAUACAAUAAUGGUGGAUAUGAAAGCGAUUCUUUUGGAGGAUGGGAUGAUUAAGGAUAUCCUUCCCAUCUGUGCAUACUUCGAUGUCUUUCAAAGUUUUCAUCAACAGCAAUUGAUUUUCUCUACUGUUCUUGUACGGAUGAUUGUUAUUGUUACACAAUAAAUGAUGAUUUUCAAGAACACUU